UGGGGGAUAUUGCACAAUGGAGGAAACUCUGAUGCAGCAACGCCGCGUGAAGGAUGAAGGUCUUCGGAUUGUAAACUUUUGUACUUGGGGACGAUAAUGACGGUACCCAAGCAGCAAGCUCCGGCUAACUACGUGCCAGCAGCCGCGGUAAUACGUAGGGAGCAAGCGUUGUCCGGAUUUACUGGGUGUAAAGGGUGCGUAGGCGGCCAUACAAGUCAGUUGUGAAAACUAUGGGCUCAACCCAUAGCCUGCAAUUGAAACUGCGUGGCUUGAGUGAAGUAGAGGUAGGUGGAAUUCCCGGUGUAGCGGUGAAAUGCGUAGAGAUCGGGAGGAACACCAGUGGCGAAGGCGACCUACUGGGCUUUAACUGACGCUGAGGCACGAAAGCAUGGGUAGCAAACAGGAUUAGAUACCCUGGUAGUCCAUGCCGUAAACGAUGAUUACUAG
RNAcentral lists this ribosomal RNA (447 nucleotides) under uncultured bacterium. RNAcentral's name for it is "partial 16S ribosomal RNA". It matches the Rfam family "Bacterial small subunit ribosomal RNA", at positions 355 to 819 of the family's 1533-position model. The record is from RNAcentral.